This 546-nucleotide ribosomal RNA is filed under the name Aureobasidium pullulans. Its description in RNAcentral is "eukaryotic LSU rRNA". The stretch from base 177 to 328 matches the Rfam family "5.8S ribosomal RNA". The record is from RNAcentral. Lineage: Eukaryota; Fungi; Ascomycota; Dothideomycetes; Dothideales; Saccotheciaceae.
GAUGGGUAGGGGUCCUCAUCGCCGACUCCUCCCUUUGUUGUUGUACUACCUUGUUGCUUUGGCGGGACCGCUCGGUCUCGAGCCGCUGGGGACUCGUCCCAGGCGAGCGCCCGGCGGAGUUAAACCUGAUCUUGUUAUUUAACCGGUCGUCUGAGUUAAAAUUUUGAGUACCCCAAAACUUUCCCCACGGAUCUCUUGGUUCUCGCAUAUUUACUCUCCGCCUCCGGUUUGGUCCUGCUUGUGAAUUGCAUAAUUCGCUGAAUCAUAAAAUCUUUGAACGCACUUUGUCCUCCUUGGUAUUCCGAGGGGCAUGCCUGUUCGAGCGUCAUUACACCAGAGGAACUAUGCUUGGUAUUGGGCGUCGUCCUUAGUUGGGCGCGCCUUAAAGACCUCGGCGAGGCCACUCCGGCUUUAGGCGUAGUAGAAUUUAUUCGAACGUCUGUCAAAGGAGAGGAACUCUGCCGACUGAAACCUUUAUUUUUCUAGGUUGACCUCGGAUCAGGUAGGGAUACCCGCUGAACUUAAGCAUAUCAAUAAGCGGAGGAA